This is a long non-coding RNA of Eupeodes corollae, 539 nucleotides long. RefSeq lists it as uncharacterized. The record is from RefSeq and is a predicted model, not a curated record. The transcript has 4 exons. NCBI's taxonomy places the organism in Eukaryota, Metazoa, Arthropoda, Insecta, Diptera, Syrphidae.
AAAAAAAUUGCCGUUCCCGUUCGUCAGCCUGGUUUGCUUCGAGAAACAAAGUUAUUUCCAACAACAACGACCGACGGUGAUGGCGACGCAUGGUUGAAGGAUUGCAAUGUUCGGGUUUUUUACAUAUCAUAAAAACUUCGAUUCGCGAUCGUCAGCCUGGUUUGCUUAGAAACAAAGUUAUUUCCAACAACAACGCACAGUGUUCGGGUGUCAACAAGUGAGUAAAGCUUAAAGUUAUUAAAAAGAGUUUAGAAAAUAAAUUAUAAUUGUAAAAAAGUGAAUAUUUUGGUAAAUUGGUAGAAUUUGUGUUCAAAUGGACAAGAAAAAUAUUCAGGCUUCCGGAUCUAAACAGUCGGCAAUGGACUCCAUUGAAUUUUCACCCACAAAGCAGCCAAGGCAGAUUUUUAAGAAAACGAAUCAACAAGAUAUGAUAGACGAAAUGAGAGCGGACAUUAAAAGUUUGUGUGUCACCACGGAGCAGCUAAAAAAUGGAAUCUGCACAUUGGCAGCAUUUUUUUCAAUAAAAUCAUAAAAAUUUA